This is a long non-coding RNA of Leopardus geoffroyi (Geoffroy's cat), 739 nucleotides long. RefSeq lists it as uncharacterized. The transcript has 2 exons. The record is from RefSeq and is a predicted model, not a curated record. Lineage: Eukaryota; Metazoa; Chordata; Mammalia; Carnivora; Felidae.
UUUUCUUAGAAAUCCACUUAAUCAUUGUACUUGGAAAGUGUUCUGGCAUGACCUUUAACAGGCUUCUUGCAACUUCUUGGGUCCUUUAACACCCUAAUGUGCAUCUGGAAUCUCCAAGAAGAAACAGAUGCUAAUAUGCAACAUUGUCCAAACUAUUUUUUUUUCUCAGCCACCUACUAAUGUUCCCCUAAAGAGCUGGAGCCAUAAGUCAACCUCCACACCUCUCCGAAACAUUCCUGAAGCUAGAUGAAGCAGGGUAAGUGAAGCUGGCCAUGUAGGUGGAGGUAGAGAGAUAGCCUGACAGGAACACUCCUGGGCCACUCACUUAGAAACUCCCUGGGCUCUCAAGCUUCCCACAGAAUUAUGGUAGUGUUAACAUAAAAUGCUGGUCACGAUUACCUUCUUUUCAAGGGAAAGUGCAACAGUAAGAGCUGAGGCAUGAAGUAUACCUUACAGUUUAGAAAUAUGUGAGCAUCCAUUACCGCAACUGACCUGCAAAACUACCUUUAGUAUCACUACUGAAAUGCGAGGAAGCAGAAUUUCCAGGUCACAGAACAGACAGCACUAGUCAUUCAGAGGCUGUUCUUUGGGGGUAGUUAGAAGCAGUCACAAAACACCAGUGUAGGCCUGGCUUGGGGACACUCACCAAACACUGUCCUGGCAGGGACUGAUUCUCUGUUCAGCCAAAAGGACACUUGUGACAAGAUCACGGUCAUUAUGCAGGGAAGGUAGGUCUGGA